This 429-nucleotide ribosomal RNA is filed under the name Acidobacteriota bacterium. RNAcentral's name for it is "Acidobacteria bacterium partial 16S ribosomal RNA". It matches the Rfam family "Bacterial small subunit ribosomal RNA", at positions 355 to 776 of the family's 1533-position model. The record is from RNAcentral. Lineage: Bacteria; Pseudomonadati; Acidobacteriota.
UGGGGAAUUUUGGACAAUGGGGGAAACCCUGAUCCAGCCAUCCCGCGUGUGCGAUGAAGGCCUUCGGGUUGUAAAGCACUUUUGGCAGGAAAGAAACGUCAUGGGUUAAUACCCCGUGAAACUGACGGUACCUGCAGAAUAAGCACCGGCUAACUACGUGCCAGCAGCCGCGGUAAUACGUAGGGUGCAAGCGUUAAUCGGAAUUACUGGGCGUAAAGCGUGCGCAGGCGGUUCGGAAAGAAAGAUGUGAAAUGCCAGAGCUCAACUUUGGAACUGCAUUUUUAACUACCGGGCUAGAGUGUGUCAGAGGGAGGUGGAAUUCCGCGUGUAGCAGUGAAAUGCGUAGAUAUGCGGAGGAACACCGAUGGCGAAGGCAGCCUCCUGGGAUAACACUGACGCUCAUGCACGAAAGAGUGGGGAGCAAACAGG